RNAcentral lists this long non-coding RNA (1143 nucleotides) under Macaca mulatta (Rhesus monkey). Its description in RNAcentral is "lncRNA (ENSMMUG00000051915.1)". Lineage: Eukaryota; Metazoa; Chordata; Mammalia; Primates; Cercopithecidae. The record is from RNAcentral.
CUUAUCAGAAAAACAGAAAGUAUAAGUGAUUGAUUGCUGACUCACUUUUAAACCAAGCUAGGCUACAUGAUAACCCAAUAGUAUUCUUGAACUAUUUAUUAAUGCAAGAAAGCUUUCAGCUUAUAGGCAUGCAUGCACACACACAUUGUGGUGUGUUGAAAAGUGAAUUGUGUUUGGCCUUAGGAGUUAAUCUAGCCCAGUUUAUAAACAAUCCUCUUUAGCUACUUAAAAAUGUCUUUCACUCCCUUCUUCCUCCUGUAUUAGCGUAGGAAAAGUUGCCUCUCUUGAGCCCCUAGUCUUCACCAUGUGGGUGUUACUAUUAGUGUCAUCUCUACAGCUUCCAUACACAUGUUCUAUUUGAUCAAAGGCAGCACUAGCCACAGAAAAGAACUCUUGAAUAUUAGGUGCUGGCAAGAGGCAUCUAUUACUGGAUCCUUAGGACUCUGUCUUUCUACUUUCAGAGCCAUCAUAUGUCAGAGUUGGUGAAAACUGAGAACCAAAGUGAAGCAAUUUGUCUUCUGAGUUUUUCAUGCGGUCAGGAGAAAGGCUGGGACCACAUGGCCUGACUCUCAGGCCAGAAUUUUGUGCACAACUUGAUCCUGUGGUGUCAGUUCUGCAAGCAGGAAGCUCAGGACAGCAUCUUGGAAGCAUAGAGACAAGGAACUCAGGCUGUGAUGAGAAAGACAAAAGAAAUGCACAAUAAAGGGAUGGUGGUUAAGUUCUAGGAAGAGAGCCAAUGAAUGACUAUUGAGAGAUGAAAUCAGGAAUGAUGAUAAAGACUUUGCCCUAAGAGGUAUGGUUAUGAGUUGUUGCAUCUAGAUAUUCACCUCUGCUUUCCAAUUACUAAGAGUUUAUGUACAUCAUUCUCCUCCAUCUUGGCCUCUGUGUUCCUAGUCUUUUUUAUUUAUAAUUUUUUUUUUCUUUUUAGUGAAUGGGUCUUGCUAUGUUGCCCAGGCUGGUCUCGAACUCUUGGGCUCAAGGAAUCCUCCCUCCUCAGCCUCUCGAAUUGCUGGGAUUACAGGGGUGGGCCACCACACUAGGUCCUAGUCUUUUAAAUGGGGAUCUGAUGCACUGCUGAAAAUGAGGUCAGAUAGCUAAGGGUAGCAAAGAUCCUAAAAAGCACAUCCCAGCCCAUGUGCAGAG